GCAGUGCUUGUUCAGUGGUAGAAUUCUCGCCUUCCAUGCGGGAGACCUAGGUUCAAAUCCUGGCCAGUGCA
Molecule: transfer RNA, 71 nt
Filed under: Loxodonta africana (African savanna elephant)
Lineage: Eukaryota; Metazoa; Chordata; Mammalia; Proboscidea; Elephantidae
Rfam family: tRNA
About the family: Transfer RNA (tRNA) molecules are approximately 80 nucleotides in length. Their secondary structure includes four short double-helical elements and three loops (D, anti-codon, and T loops).
Source: Rfam by way of RNAcentral